RNAcentral lists this ribosomal RNA (807 nucleotides) under uncultured bacterium. RNAcentral's name for it is "bacterial SSU rRNA". It matches the Rfam family "Bacterial small subunit ribosomal RNA", at positions 9 to 830 of the family's 1533-position model. The record is from RNAcentral.
GAGUUUGAUCAUGGCUCAGAAUCAACGCUGGCGGCGUGCCUCAGACAUGCAAGUCGAACGAUUAAAGCUCUCUUCGGAGAGUGUAUAGAGUGGCGCACGGGUGAGUAGCACGUAAGUAAUCUACCCUCGAGUGGGGAAUAACAUCGGGAAACCGAUGCUAAUACCGCAUAAUGCAGCGGCACCGCAAGGUGACAGUUGUUAAAGAUUUAUCGCUUGAGGAGGAGCUUGCGGCAGAUUAGCUAGUUGGUAAGGUAAUGGCUUACCAAGGCUACGAUCUGUAACCGGUCUAAGAGGACGGUCGGUCACACUGACACUGAAUAACGGGUCAGACUCCUACGGGAGGCAGCAGUCGGGAAUUUUGGGCAAUGGGCGAAAGCCUGACCCAGCAACGCCGCGUGAAGGAUGAAGUAUUUCGGUAUGUAAACUUCGAAAGAAUGGGAAGAAUCAAUGACGGUACCAUUUAUAAGGUCCGGCUAACUACGUGCCAGCAGCCGCGGUAAUACGUAGGGACCAAGCGCUGUUCGGAUUUACUGGGCGUAAAGGGCGCGUAGGCGGCCCUACAAGUCACUUGUGAAAUCUCCGGGCUUAACUCGGAACGGCCAAGUGAAACUGUAGAGCUAGAGUGUGGAAGGGGCAAUCCGAAUUCUUGGUGUAGCGGUGAAAUGCGUAGAUAUCAAGAGGAACACCUGAGGUGAAGACGGGUUGCUGGGCCAACACUGACGCUGAGGCGCGAAAGCCAGGGGAGCAAACGGGAUUAGAUACCCCGGUAGUCCUGGCCCUAAACGAUGAAUACUUGGUGUCUGGGGU